This 1522-nucleotide ribosomal RNA is filed under the name Salmonella enterica subsp. enterica serovar Thompson. RNAcentral describes it as "bacterial SSU rRNA". It matches the Rfam family "Bacterial small subunit ribosomal RNA". Lineage: Bacteria; Pseudomonadati; Pseudomonadota; Gammaproteobacteria; Enterobacterales; Enterobacteriaceae. The record is from RNAcentral.
AGAGUUUGAUCAUGGCUCAGAUUGAACGCUGGCGGCAGGCCUAACACAUGCAAGUCGAACGGUAACAGGAAGCAGCUUGCUGCUUCGCUGACGAGUGGCGGACGGGUGAGUAAUGUCUGGGAAACUGCCUGAUGGAGGGGGAUAACUACUGGAAACGGUGGCUAAUACCGCAUAACGUCGCAAGACCAAAGAGGGGGACCUUCGGGCCUCUUGCCAUCAGAUGUGCCCAGAUGGGAUUAGCUAGUUGGUGAGGUAACGGCUCACCAAGGCGACGAUCCCUAGCUGGUCUGAGAGGAUGACCAGCCACACUGGAACUGAGACACGGUCCAGACUCCUACGGGAGGCAGCAGUGGGGAAUAUUGCACAAUGGGCGCAAGCCUGAUGCAGCCAUGCCGCGUGUAUGAAGAAGGCCUUCGGGUUGUAAAGUACUUUCAGCGGGGAGGAAGGUGUUGUGGUUAAUAACCGCAGCAAUUGACGUUACCCGCAGAAGAAGCACCGGCUAACUCCGUGCCAGCAGCCGCGGUAAUACGGAGGGUGCAAGCGUUAAUCGGAAUUACUGGGCGUAAAGCGCACGCAGGCGGUCUGUCAAGUCGGAUGUGAAAUCCCCGGGCUCAACCUGGGAACUGCAUUCGAAACUGGCAGGCUUGAGUCUUGUAGAGGGGGGUAGAAUUCCAGGUGUAGCGGUGAAAUGCGUAGAGAUCUGGAGGAAUACCGGUGGCGAAGGCGGCCCCCUGGACAAAGACUGACGCUCAGGUGCGAAAGCGUGGGGAGCAAACAGGAUUAGAUACCCUGGUAGUCCACGCCGUAAACGAUGUCUACUUGGAGGUUGUGCCCUUGAGGCGUGGCUUCCGGAGCUAACGCGUUAAGUAGACCGCCUGGGGAGUACGGCCGCAAGGUUAAAACUCAAAUGAAUUGACGGGGGCCCGCACAAGCGGUGGAGCAUGUGGUUUAAUUCGAUGCAACGCGAAGAACCUUACCUGGUCUUGACAUCCACAGAACUAUCCAGAGAUGGACUUGUGCCUUCGGGAACUGUGAGACAGGUGCUGCAUGGCUGUCGUCAGCUCGUGUUGUGAAAUGUUGGGUUAAGUCCCGCAACGAGCGCAACCCUUAUCCUUUGUUGCCAGCGGUCCGGCCGGGAACUCAAAGGAGACUGCCAGUGAUAAACUGGAGGAAGGUGGGGAUGACGUCAAGUCAUCAUGGCCCUUACGACCAGGGCUACACACGUGCUACAAUGGCGCAUACAAAGAGAAGCGACCUCGCGAGAGCAAGCGGACCUCAUAAAGUGCGUCGUAGUCCGGAUUGGAGUCUGCAACUCGACUCCAUGAAGUCGGAAUCGCUAGUAAUCGUGGAUCAGAAUGCCACGGUGAAUACGUUCCCGGGCCUUGUACACACCGCCCGUCACACCAUGGGAGUGGGUUGCAAAAGAAGUAGGUAGCUUAACCUUCGGGAGGGCGCUUACCACUUUGUGAUUCAUGACUGGGGUGAAGUCGUAACAAGGUAACCGUAGGGGAACCUGCGGUUG